ACGGCUCAGUAACACGUGGAUAACCUGCCCUUGGGUCCGGCAUAACCCCGGGAAACUGGGGAUAAUUCCGGAUAACGCAUAUGUGCUGGAAUGCUUUAUGCGUCAAACGGAUUCGUCUGCCCAAGGAUGGGUCUGCGGCCUAUCAGGUAGUAGUGGGUGUAAUGUACCUACUAGCCGACAACGGGUACGGGUUGUGAGAGCAAGAGCCCGGAGAUGGAUUCUGAGACAUGAAUCCAGGCCCUACGGGGCGCAGCAGGCGCGAAAACUUUACAAUGCGGGAAACCGUGAUAAGGGGACACCGAGUGUCAGCAUCAUAUGCUGGCUGUCCAGGUGUGUAAAAUACACCUGUUAGCAAGGGCCGGGCAAGACCGGUGCCAGCCGCCGCGGUAACACCGGCGGCCCGAGUGGUGAUCGUGAUUAUUGGGUCUAAAGGGUCCGUAGCCGGUUUGGUCAGUCCUCCGGGAAAUCUGAUAGCUCAACUAUUAGGCUAUCGGGGGAUACUGCCAGACUUGGAACCGGGAGAGGUAAGAGGUACUACAGGGGUAGGAGUGAAAUCUUGUAAUCCCUGUGGGACCACCUGUGGCGAAGGCGUCUUACCAGAACGGGUUCGACGGUGAGGGACGAAAGCUGGGGGCACGAACCGGAUUAGAUACCCGGGUAGUCCCAGCCGUAAACGAUGCUCGCUAGGUGUCAGGCAUGGCGCGACCGUGUCUGGUGCCGCAGGGAAGCCGUGAAGCGAGCCACCUGGGAAGUACGGCCGCAAGGCUGAAACUUAAAGGAAUUGGCGGGGGAGCAC
Molecule: ribosomal RNA, 796 nt
Filed under: uncultured archaeon
Lineage: Archaea
Description: bacterial SSU rRNA
Rfam family: Archaeal small subunit ribosomal RNA
Source: RNAcentral